CAUCCUCCAAGGCUAAAUACUCCUGACUGACCGAUAGUGAACCAGUACCGUGAGGGAAAGGCGAAAAGAACCCCGGCGAGGGGAGUGAAAAAGAACCUGAAACCGUGUACGUACAAGCAGUGGGAGCCUCUUUAUGGGGUGACUGCGUACCUUUUGUAUAAUGGGUCAGCGACUUAUAUUCUGUAGCAAGGUUAACCGAAUAGGGGAGCCGAAGGGAAACCGAGUCUUAACUGGGCGUUAAGUUGCAGGGUAUAGACCCGAAACCCGGUGAUCUAGCCAUGGGCAGGUUGAAGGUUGGGUAACACUAACUGGAGGACCGAACCGACUAAUGUUGAAAAAUUAGCGGAUGACUUGUGGCUGGGGGUGAAAGGCCAAUCAAACCGGGAGAUAGCUGGUUCUCCCCGAAAGCUAUUUAGGUAGCGCCUCGUGAAUUCAUCUCCGGGGGUAGAGCACUGUUUCGGCAAGGGGGUCAUCCCGACUUACCAACCCGAUGCAAACUGCGAAUACCGGAGAAUGUUAUCACGGGAGACACACGGCGGGUGCUAACGUCCGUCGUGAAGAGGGAAACAACCCAGACCGCCAGCUAAGGUCCCAAAGUCAUGGUUAAGUGGGAAACGAUGUGGGAAGGCCCAGACAGCCAGGAUGUUGGCUUAGAAGCAGCCAUCAUUUAAAGAAAGCGUAAUAGCUCACUGGUCGAGUCGGCCUGCGCGGAAGAUGUAACGGGGCUAAACCAUGCACCGAAGCUGCGGCAGCGAC
Molecule: ribosomal RNA, 756 nt
Filed under: Escherichia coli
Lineage: Bacteria; Pseudomonadati; Pseudomonadota; Gammaproteobacteria; Enterobacterales; Enterobacteriaceae
Description: partial 23S ribosomal RNA
Rfam family: Bacterial large subunit ribosomal RNA
Source: RNAcentral